GACGAACGCUGGCGGCGUGCUUAACACAUGCAAGUCGAACGGAGAGGCCCAGCUUUUGGGGGGUGCUCGAGUGGCGAACGGGUGUGUAACACGUGAGUAACCUGCUCAUGACUUUGGGAUAACUUCAGGAAACUGGGGCUAAUACCGGAUAGGAGCUCCUGCUGCAGGGGGGGGGGUGGAGAGUUUUGGCGGUUGGGGAUGGACUCGCGGCAUAUCAGCUUGGUGGUGGGGUAGUGGCUUACCAAGGCUUUGACGGGUAGCCGGCCUGAGAGGGUGACCGGCCACACUGGGACUGAGAUACGGCCCAGACUCCUACGGGAGGCAGCAGUGGGGAAUAUUGCACAAUGGGCGGAAGCCUGAUGCAGCAACGCCGCGUGCGGGAUGACGGCCUUCGGGUUGUAAACCUCUUUCGCCUGUGACGAAGCGUGAGUGACGGUAAUGGGUGAAGAAGCACCGGCUAACUACGUG
This 468-nucleotide ribosomal RNA is filed under the name uncultured bacterium. RNAcentral's name for it is "partial 16S ribosomal RNA". It matches the Rfam family "Bacterial small subunit ribosomal RNA", at positions 28 to 507 of the family's 1533-position model. The record is from RNAcentral.